GCACCUCACACACACACACACACACACACUCUCACACACACACAUAUAUAAAGAGCAGCAGUGAGAGUUGCCUCAGAAAGCAGUUGAACUGUAACCCAUCAAGCGAAGCUAAGAUAACAGCUCUACUAUGGACCCAUCAGCACCGUGGCCCUGGGUGACUAUUUCGUUCCCUGAGGAGGCGACCGAGACGUGAAGACCUUGCAGGGUGUUGCGGUCGGUGAUGCCUCCAUUCACCACCAGGCUGCCUCUAUAUCAGCAGGCUGCCUCUAUAUCAGCAGGCUGCCUCUACACCACCAGGCUGCCUCUACAUCAGCAGGCUGCCUCUACACCACCAGGCUGCCUCUACACCAGCAGGCUGCCUCUACACCAGCAGGCUGCCUCUACACCAGCAGGCUGCCUCUACACCACCAGGCUGCUUCUACACCAGCAUCACUAAGUGUGACACAUUAUAUCUUGGAACAUCGCAAGAUCUCCUGGAAUGAUCUAGCAUAUUUAGGCAUGCCUCAGCAUCACCAAGGGUGACAUAAUAUCUCAUGGAAUACCACAGCAUCUCAAGGGAUGCCCCCGCAUUUCAAGGGAUGCCCCACCAUCUCUUGACAAGCCGCAGCAUCACUGUGGAUGGCCCAACAUCUCGUGGCUUGACAUAGCAUCCCUCUCCGCGAGUCAGCUGACUUGUUCAAACACAAGAUUCAGCGAAAACCUUUAAAGUUCCAUCACUCAAUUCUUUUAUUCGAAUAUAUUAUUUUUUUAAACAAAAUUGACAUAAAUUUAUGUAGCAUUUCGCUACAAUAUAUCCUCCAAAACACGGCCAUAUUUUGAUGCUAUUAAUUUCAUGUUGCUAUUAAUUUCAAUUGAUGACCCUCAAUUGAUGACCAUCAAUGGAUGACCAUCGAUUGAUGACCCUCAAAAUGUACUGUUUUGCAGUAAUAGUCCAUUCUUUCGAAUUUCGAUGAAGAGCUUAUGUUUCAAAAUCAUUAGAUUCAUCAACAAACUCGGAUAACUUUUUUGUUUUGCUAUUGUGAAUAUAUCAUGUUACGGGUAUAUCGUUAUACCAUUGCGUGAGGUGCGAUAGACACUUCAUGCAGACAUACUUUGAUCCAUUUAUUUGUGGAGCCUGAAGAUAUAAUCGAAUAAUAUUUUUAAUUUAUCGCAAAAUAUGCUUCUUUUUUAGCGUAGAACAAUGCCUUUAUUGUAUUAUUUGUAUUUGUUAACUUUUUCUCAUAUAUAUACAAUUAUUAUGGUGUAUCUUUCAAGGGUACACCUUGGGUAUAUCUCUUAGAGGUAUACUUUGGGUUUAUCUCUCAGGGAUACACCUUGGGUGUUACUCUGAGUGGUACCUCUACUACACACUACACUGACACACACCUACACUAUCGUUCCCAAAAGUUCUCACUUGGGAUACAUAAAAUGUCACUAAUUUACCGCAGUAAUUCAGACUGUGAUCGGCAAGUAGCUGAAGCCUUCGAUAUAUUUUUAAUUAUUCCUUUAAAUAAUUUUUCAACCUUAGCUGCUCAUAAAAUUUCGAAACAAUUUCCAGGAAACUGACAUAAACAAUCAAUUUUCAAAGUAUAUAUUGACGAGUUUGUCAGUUUAAACAUAUUUUUUUUUCUAUUGUUGUCAUUUUUAAAUAAUAGAACAAACUUCAAUUCAUAGAUUUGCUCUAGAGUUUUUGAGAGCACUGAUGAGUAACUUUAAUAUGAAAGUUGCUAGUGUUAGUUAACAUAAUUGAACAAUUUACUGAUCCUAUGUUGAACAU
Procambarus clarkii (red swamp crayfish) is the source of this 1756-nucleotide long non-coding RNA. RefSeq lists it as uncharacterized. The record is from RefSeq and is a predicted model, not a curated record. Lineage: Eukaryota; Metazoa; Arthropoda; Malacostraca; Decapoda; Cambaridae.